UCCCUGGCAGUCCAGUGGUUAAGACUCUGCACUUUCACUGCCAAGGGCCCUGGUUCAAUCCCUGGUUGGGGAA
Molecule: transfer RNA, 73 nt
Filed under: Bos taurus (domestic cattle)
Lineage: Eukaryota; Metazoa; Chordata; Mammalia; Artiodactyla; Bovidae
Also listed under: 3 other names
Rfam family: tRNA
About the family: Transfer RNA (tRNA) molecules are approximately 80 nucleotides in length. Their secondary structure includes four short double-helical elements and three loops (D, anti-codon, and T loops).
Source: Rfam by way of RNAcentral